RNAcentral lists this ribosomal RNA (802 nucleotides) under Pseudogymnoascus sp. RNAcentral describes it as "partial large subunit ribosomal RNA". It matches the Rfam family "Eukaryotic large subunit ribosomal RNA", at positions 82 to 905 of the family's 3401-position model. The record is from RNAcentral. Lineage: Eukaryota; Fungi; Ascomycota; Leotiomycetes; Thelebolales; Thelebolaceae.
AGUAACGGCGAGUGAAGCGGUAACAGCUCAAAUUUGAAAUCUGGCCUCACGGUCCGAGUUGUAAUUUGUAGAGGAUGCUUCGAGCAUGGUCUGGCCUAAGUUCCUUGGAACAGGACGUCAUAGAGGGUGAGAAUCCCGUAUGCGGCCAGGUGCCUACGCUCAUGUGAAGCUCCUUCGACGAGUCGAGUUGUUUGGGAAUGCAGCUCAAAAUGGGUGGUAAAUUUCAUCUAAAGCUAAAUAUUGGCCAGAGACCGAUAGCGCACAAGUAGAGUGAUCGAAAGAUGAAAAGCACUUUGGAAAGAGAGUUAAACAGUACGUGAAAUUGUUGAAAGGGAAGCGCUUGCAACCAGACUUGCGCGCGGCCGAUCAUCCGGUGUUCUCACCGGUGCACUCGGCCGUGCUCAGGCCAGCAUCGGUUUUGGCGGCUGGAUAAAGGCCCUAGGAAUGUAGCUCCUCUCGGGGAGUGUUAUAGCCUAGGGUGCAAUGCAGCCUGCUGGGACCGAGGACCGCGCUUCGGCUAGGAUGCUGGCGUAAUGGUUGUAAGCGGCCCGUCUUGAAACACGGACCAAGGAGUCUAACAUCUAUGCGAGUGUUUGGGUGUCAAACCCAUACGCGUAAUGAAAGUGAACGGAGGUGAGAACCCUUAAGGGUGCAUCAUCGACCGGUCCUGAAGUUUACGGAAGGAUCUGAGUAAGAGCAUAGCUGUUGGGACCCGAAAGAUGGUGAACUAUGCCUGAAUAGGGUGAAGCCAGAGGAAACUCUGGUGGAGGCUCGCAGCGGUUCUGACGUGCAAAUCGAUCGU